Molecule: ribosomal RNA, 568 nt
Filed under: Trichopilus luteolamellatus
Lineage: Eukaryota; Fungi; Basidiomycota; Agaricomycetes; Agaricales; Entolomataceae
Description: partial small subunit ribosomal RNA
Rfam family: Bacterial small subunit ribosomal RNA
Source: RNAcentral
GUCAAGAAUAUUMGUCAAUGCUCGCMAGAGUGAACUAGCCAACUGAAAUCACAGAUUCCACUACGUGUGGUGAAUGUAAUAACGUAAGGGAAAAAAAUGAUAUUACCUUACUAUUAGUGUUGUCCAAAACUGGUGCCAGAAGACUCGGUAAGGCCAGAGACGCAAACGUUAGUCGUCCUAAUCAGGCGUAAAGGGUAUGUAGGCUGUUUUAAAAGUUUUAUAUUAAUAGCUAAUGUAUAAAAAAUAUUUAAUAAAAAAAUAUUUAAAACAUAAAAAUAUAAGAUGAAUUAAAGCUAGGAUCAAAUGGAGGAUAAGUCAAAUAAUACCUAGUGUAGGGUUUAAAUCUGUUGAUGUUAGGUAGAGUACUAACGGUGAAAGCUUUUUAUCUAGAAAUGAUUGACGCUGAGAAACGAAGGUGAGAAUAGGAAAUAGGAUUAGAUACCCAGAUACCUCUCACAGUCAACGAUGAAUGGUGGUUGUUAGUUAGUUUUAUUUAACUGAUAACGAUGUUAACACGAUAACCAUUCCGCCUUGCGAGUACGGUUGCAAAACUGAAACCAAAAAAAUU